AAUAGGGUGAAAACGUCUCCAUUACUAUAGAAGCAGGUUACAAGGAAUGAAAAUGACACUCACAAUUCUCUGUUUCGAGAACUGAGUAUUCAUGCAUCAAGAACCCAAGCCAAUUCCAGUCCAUUUUCUACAAAACUCUUUACUGCUACACCACAUCCAAGCCGGCUUACUUCAAAUCCAAAAUCUAUUUUAAUUCCCAUAUUCGUGGAUCGAGGCCUAACCUUCCUUAGAAGAGACUCAAUUAAUUUGGAGCUUCGAUGGAAGAUGGACGAGAGAUUUUCUUUCCCUGUGACAAUGAAAAUUCGAUAAGCCAUAUUUGCAAAAAUAAAAAGUUAACAAGUGUUGGUGGUAAAUGAUGAAUGGGAAGAAUUAUAGUUUGAAGAAGUGGUAAUAGGGGUAGAUGAACAUGCGACUUGGGGUUGUUAAAAUGAGGGGGAUGCCCACUGAUUUCAUGGUUGGACCUACACUGCCAACUAUGAUCGGCAGAUUGCACAACGAACUAUGGCGAUGUUAAUUGACCGUGGGCCACCCAAAAUUUUAGUCUCAUAGGCCUUGUUCAAAGUUUGGAAAUUGUGCAGAUGGGCGCUCCAGUUAUAGAGUUUACAUGGAUACUAUGCUAAUGAUAGUAGGCAAGUCUACCCACUGCUUCGAGCUGAAAUAUCCUCUUCAUGCUUUGACAAUAGAUGGGGUUCUUGCGGAGGAAAUUUUUGGGCUAAACCAUAUGUCAAAUUUAUAAUUUGCCUGCAAAUUUUGAGGUCGGGAUAUUGAUAGAAUUCCACAGGUUACAUAGGGGAGGGUAUUACAGCUUUGUUCACUCCUAACAGGGACAAAGAUACCUUGGCCAGAGUGGACAAAGAUAGUAAUAUAAAAAUAAAAAAUAAAAAAUAAACAAACAAACUUAUAUGGCUUCAUUUCAUUUGGACACUGGGUUGGGUUAUUAUCACUUCUUUUCAUUUUGACAGCACUUCA
Molecule: long non-coding RNA, 969 nt
Filed under: Olea europaea subsp. europaea
Lineage: Eukaryota; Viridiplantae; Streptophyta; Magnoliopsida; Lamiales; Oleaceae
Source: RNAcentral